RNAcentral lists this transfer RNA (74 nucleotides) under Sundasalanx sp. Chao Phraya. RNAcentral describes it as "tRNA-Lys". It matches the Rfam family "tRNA". From Rfam's summary of the family: Transfer RNA (tRNA) molecules are approximately 80 nucleotides in length. The record is from RNAcentral. Lineage: Eukaryota; Metazoa; Chordata; Actinopteri; Clupeiformes; Clupeidae.
CACUAAAAAGCUAAACUGGGCAUAGCAUCAGCCUUUUAAGCUGAAGAUUGGUGGCCCCCAACCACCUUUAGUGA